RNAcentral lists this ribosomal RNA (478 nucleotides) under uncultured bacterium. RNAcentral's name for it is "bacterial SSU rRNA". It matches the Rfam family "Bacterial small subunit ribosomal RNA", at positions 58 to 571 of the family's 1533-position model. The record is from RNAcentral.
CAAGUCGUACGCGAACGACCUUUCGGGGUUAAGUAGAGUGGCGAACGGGUUAGUAACGCGUGGGAACAUACACAGCACAGGGGGAUAACCAUUGGAAACGAUGGCUAAUACCGCAUACGCCCUAUUGGGGAAAGAUUUAUCGGUGUUGGAUUGGCCCGCGUUAGAUCAGCUAGUUGGUGGGGUAAUGGCUCACCAAGGCGACGAUUUAUAGCUGGUUUGAGAGGAUGAUCAGCAACACUGGAACUGAGACACGGUCCAGACUCCUACGGGAGGCAGCAGUCGGGAAUAUUGUGCAAUGGGGGCAACCCUGACACAGCCAUGCCGCGUGAGUGAAGAAGGCCUUAGGGUUGUAAAGCUCUUUCAGAUGUGAGGAUGAUGACGAUAGCAUCAGAAGAAGCUCCGGCUAACUUCGUGCCAGCAGCCGCGGUAAUACGAAGGGAGCUAGCGUUGUUCGGAAUUACUGGGCGUAAAGGGCGUG